CUUGACUGUAGCCUGGAAUUGGGUUCGGGCUUCUCUUGCGCAGACUAGGUGGGAGGCUAUGAAGAUUUCCUUCCGGGGAAGUUGGAGCCAACAGUGAGAGACCACUCUGGAAAGGCUAGGAUCCUCAUGGUGAUCCUUGAAUCAGGACACUUGACAGUUUCAGGCGGGCAGUUUCUCUGGGGCGGAGGCCUCAUAAAAGGUAACUGAGGUGCGCAAAGGUUCCCUCAGUCUGGACGGAAAUCAGACAUUGAGUGUAAAGGCAAAAGGGGGCUUGACUGCAAGACCUACAAGUCGAGCAGGAGCGAAAGCUGGCCUUAGUGAUCCGACGGUACCGUGUGGAAGGGCCGUCGCUCAACGAAUAAAAGUUA
This 368-nucleotide ribosomal RNA is filed under the name uncultured organism. Its description in RNAcentral is "bacterial LSU rRNA". It matches the Rfam family "Bacterial large subunit ribosomal RNA", at positions 2099 to 2465 of the family's 2925-position model. The record is from RNAcentral.